GAACCACCAAAUUGCGAAGGCAGGUUACUAAGCAACAACUGNCGCUGAUGGACGAAAAGCGUGGGGAGCGAACAGGAUUAGAUACCCUGGUAGUCCACGCCGUAAACGAUGCUAACUCGUUUUUGGGCUUUUGGGUUCAGAGACUAAGCGAAAGUGAUAAGUUAGCCACCUGGGGAGUACGAACGCAAGUUUGAAACUCAAAGGAAUUGACGGGGGCCCGCACAAGCGGUGGAUUAUGUGGUUUAAUUCGAUGAUACGCGAGGAACCUUACCAAGGCUUAAAUGGGAAAUGACAGGCUUAGAAAUAGGCUUUUCUUCGGACAUUUUUCAAGGUGCUGCAUGGUUGUCGUCAGCUCGUGCCGUGAGGUGUUAGGUUAAGUCCUGCAACGAGCGCAACCCCUGUCACUAGUUGCCAUCAUUAAGUUGGGGACUCUAGUGAGACUGCCUACGCAAGUAGAGAGGAAGGUGGGGAUGACGUCAAAUCAUCACGGCCCUUACGCCUUGGGCCACACACGUAAUACAAUGGCCGGUACAGAGGGCAGCUACACUGCGAAGUGAUGCAAAUCUCGAAAGCCGGUCUCAGUUCGGAUUGGAGUCUGCAACUCGACUCUAUGAAGCUGGAAUCGCUAGUAAUCGCGCAUCAGCCAUGGCGCGGUGAAUACGUUCCCGGGCCUUGUACACACCGCCCGUCAAGCCAUGGAAGUCUGGGGUACCUGAAGUCGGUGACCGUAACAGGAGCUGCCUAGGAAACAGCUCGUU
Molecule: ribosomal RNA, 758 nt
Filed under: Chryseobacterium sp.
Lineage: Bacteria; Pseudomonadati; Bacteroidota; Flavobacteriia; Flavobacteriales; Weeksellaceae
Description: bacterial SSU rRNA
Rfam family: Bacterial small subunit ribosomal RNA
Source: RNAcentral